This 213-nucleotide long non-coding RNA is filed under the name Setaria italica (foxtail millet). RNAcentral describes it as "long non-coding RNA (SITA_LNC004763)". The record is from RNAcentral. Lineage: Eukaryota; Viridiplantae; Streptophyta; Magnoliopsida; Poales; Poaceae.
AAAGGAAAGCCGAGCUUGCAUCGCCGGAAUCAAGCUCGCACCGACGAAUCGAUGAGGGUGCACAGUACCGCAUCCAUGGUCGAGCUCGCCACAGCCGCAUCCAUGGCCAAGCUCCCCAGCAGGAUCCAUGGCCGAGCUCGCCGCAGGAAGCGCAGAUGGAGUUAGCAGGCGGCCGGAUCUGCACGAGCUCAGGCCAGCUGCUUGGGCCCUCCC